GAUGAACGCUGGCGGCGUGCCUAAUACAUGCAAGUCGAGCGAACGGACGAGAAGCUUGCUUUUCUGAUGUUAGCGGCGGACGGGUGAGUAACACGUGGAUAACCUACCUAUAAGACUGGGAUAACUUCGGGAAACCGGAGCUAAUACCGGAUAAUAUUUUGAACCGCAUGGUUCAAAAGUGAAAGACGGUCUUGCUGUCACUUAUAGAUGGAUCCGCGCUGCAUUAGCUAGUUGGUAAGGUAACGGCUUACCAAGGCAACGAUGCAUAGCCGACCUGAGAGGGUGAUCGGCCACACUGGAACUGAGACACGGUCCAGACUCCUACGGGAGGCAGCAGUAGGGAAUCUUCCGCAAUGGGCGGAAGCCUGACGGAGCAACGCCGCGUGAGUGAUGAAGGUCUUCGGAUCGUAAAACUCUGUUAUUAGGGAAGAACAUAUGUGUAAGUAACUGUGCACAUCUUGACGGUACCUAAUCAGAAAGCCACGGCUAACUACGUGCCAGCAGCCGCGGUAAUACGUAGGUGGCAAGCGUUAUCCGGAAUUAUUGGGCGUAAAGCGCGCGUAGGCGGUUUUUUAAGUCUGAUGUGAAAGCCCACGGCUCAACCGUGGAGGGUCAUUGGAAACUGGAAAACUUGAGUGCAGAAGAGGAAAGUGGAAUUCCAUGUGUAGCGGUGAAAUGCGCAGAGAUAUGGAGGAACACCAGUGGCGAAGGCGACUUUCUGGUCUGUAACUGACGCUGAUGUGCGAAAGCGUGGGGAUCAAACAGGAUUAGAUACCCUGGUAGUCCACGCCGUAAACGAUGAGUGCUAAGUGUUAGGGGGUUUCCGCCCCUUAGUGCUGCAGCUAACGCAUUAAGCACUCCGCCUGGGGAGUACGACCGCAAGGUUGAAACUCAAAGGAAUUGACGGGGACCCGCACAAGCGGUGGAGCAUGUGGUUUAAUUCGAAGCAACGCGAAGAACCUUACCAAAUCUUGACAUCCUUUGACAACUCUAGAGAUAGAGCCUUCCCCUUCGGGGGACAAAGUGACAGGUGGUGCAUGGUUGUCGUCAGCUCGUGUCGUGAGAUGUUGGGUUAAGUCCCGCAACGAGCGCAACCCUUAAGCUUAGUUGCCAUCAUUAAGUUGGGCACUCUAAGUUGACUGCCGGUGACAAACCGGAGGAAGGUGGGGAUGACGUCAAAUCAUCAUGCCCCUUAUGAUUUGGGCUACACACGUGCUACAAUGGACAGUACAAAGGGCAGCGAAACCGCGAGGUCAAGCAAAUCCCAUAAAGUUGUUCUCAGUUCGGAUUGUAGUCUGCAACUCGACUACAUGAAGCUGGAAUCGCUAGUAAUCGUAGAUCAGCAUGCUACGGUGAAUACGUUCCCGGGUCU
RNAcentral lists this ribosomal RNA (1372 nucleotides) under uncultured bacterium. RNAcentral describes it as "bacterial SSU rRNA". It matches the Rfam family "Bacterial small subunit ribosomal RNA", at positions 28 to 1381 of the family's 1533-position model. The record is from RNAcentral.